CUAAGAAUAUUCCGCAAUGGACGGAAGUCUGACGGAGCGACGCCGCGUGGAUGAAGAAGGCCGAAAGGUUGUAAAGUUCUUUUGCUGGGGAAGAAUAACCGCAGGAGGGAAUGCCUGUGGGAUGACAAGAACCGGCGAAUAAGCCCCGGCCAACUACGUGCCAGCAGCCGCGGUAACACGCAGGGGGGCGAGCGUUGUUCGGAAUUACUGGGCGUAAAGGGCAUGUAGGCGGCUUGGAAAGCCUGGCGUGAAAGUCUGCAGCUUAACUGCAGGGGUGCGCUGGGAACUGCUGAGCUUGAGUGACGGAGAGGGAGCUGGAAUUCCUGGUGUAGGAGUGAAAUCUGUAGAUAUCAGGGAAGAACACCGAUGGCGAAGGCAAGCUCCUGGCCGAUGAUUGACGCUGAGGUGCGAAAGUGUGGGGAUCAAACAGGAUUAGAUACCCUGGUAGUCCACACAGUCAACGAUGUGCACUAGGUGCUGGGGCGGUAGCUUCGGUGCCGGAGCGAACGUGGUAAGUGCACCGCCUGGGGGAGUAUGUCNCAAGGGGUGAAACUCAAAUGAAUUGACGGGGGUCAUANCU
This 580-nucleotide ribosomal RNA is filed under the name uncultured bacterium. RNAcentral describes it as "partial 16S ribosomal RNA". It matches the Rfam family "Bacterial small subunit ribosomal RNA", at positions 355 to 927 of the family's 1533-position model. The record is from RNAcentral.